Molecule: ribosomal RNA, 254 nt
Filed under: uncultured bacterium
Lineage: Bacteria
Description: partial 16S ribosomal RNA
Rfam family: Bacterial small subunit ribosomal RNA
Source: RNAcentral
UACGUAGGCAGCGAGCGUUUGUUCGGAGUUACUGGGCGUAAAGGGUUCGUAGGUGGCUUGUUAAGUCAGACGUGAAAUCCCUCGGCUCAACCGGGGAACUGCGUCUGAGACUGAUGAGCUCGAGUGCAGGAGAGGAACGCGGAAUUCCAGGUGUAGCGGUGAAAUGCGUAGAUAUCAGGAGGAACACCGGUGGCGAAGGCGGGUCUCUGGGCCGUAACUGACGCUGAGGAGCGAAAGCAUGGGGAGCGAACAGG